This 355-nucleotide long non-coding RNA is filed under the name Hordeum vulgare. RNAcentral describes it as "long non-coding RNA (HVUL_LNC005533)". Lineage: Eukaryota; Viridiplantae; Streptophyta; Magnoliopsida; Poales; Poaceae. The record is from RNAcentral.
GUUGGGUUGGGUGGAACGUCGUCUGUACGACGGCUGCUGCCGCCGAUGCGCCGACAGGCUCGCCCGCUCGGGCCUGGGGGCAAUAGUGCAGAAAGGAAAGGCUAGCUAUCUCCCGACGAUGAUCCCUGGCCCUUGCCUGAAUGUACUGCUUGAUCCACCGGAUCGGUAGGCCGUUCUGAAGCGCGUUUGUACGACGAUCCAGAUCCUCUGUUUAUGGGUGACAAUGAUGUGUGAACCACUGUGUCGUGGGAUCGCUUCGUCUGUGGAUCCAAACCCUAGAAUGGAGUGUGGAGCGGUUGAUACAAUAAAGAAUCUUGUCUUAAAUCAUUCCAAUGUCAGUAAAACUAUAUGUAGG